AGCGGCGGACGGGUGAGUAACACGCGGGUAACCUGCCCCAGAGACUGGGAUAACACCUGGAAACAGAUGCUAAUACCGGAUAACAACACUAGACGCAUGUCUAGAGUUUGAAAGAUGGUUCUGCUAUCACUCUUGGAUGGACCUGCGGUGCAUUAGCUAGUUGGUAAGGUAACGGCUUACCAAGGCAAUGAUGCAUAGCCGAGUUGAGAGACUGAUCGGCCACAUUGGGACUGAGACACGGCCCAAACUCCUACGGGAGGCAGCAGUAGGGAAUCUUCCACAAUGGACGAAAGUCUGAUGGAGCAACGCCGCGUGAGUGAAGAAGGGUUUCGGCUCGUAAAGCUCUGUUGGUAGUGAAGAAAGAUAGAGGUAGUAACUGGCCUUUAUUUGACGGUAAUUACUUAGAAAGUCACGGCUAACUACGUGCCAGCAGCCGCGGUAAUACGUAGGUGGCAAGCGUUGUCCGGAUUUAUUGGGCGUAAAGCGAGUGCAGGCGGUUCAAUAAGUCUGAUGUGAAAGCCUUCGGCUCAACCGGAGAAUUGCAUCAGAAACUGUUGAACUUGAGUGCAGAAGAGGAGAGUGGAACUCCAUGUGUAGCGGUGGAAUGCGUAGAUAUAUGGAAGAACACCAGUGGCGAAGGCGGCUCUCUGGUCUGCAACUGACGCUGAGGCUCGAAAGCAUGGGUAGCGAACAGGAUUAGAUACCCGGGUAGUCCAUGCCGUAAACGAUGAGUGCUAAGUGU
Molecule: ribosomal RNA, 742 nt
Filed under: uncultured bacterium
Lineage: Bacteria
Description: bacterial SSU rRNA
Rfam family: Bacterial small subunit ribosomal RNA
Source: RNAcentral